Molecule: ribosomal RNA, 468 nt
Filed under: uncultured bacterium
Lineage: Bacteria
Description: partial 16S ribosomal RNA
Rfam family: Bacterial small subunit ribosomal RNA
Source: RNAcentral
GACGAACGCUGGCGGCGUGCUUAACACAUGCAAGUCGAACGGAAAGGCCCUGCUUUUGUGGGGUGCUCGAGUGGCGAACGGGUGAGUAACACGUGAGUAACCUGCCCUUGACUUUGGGAUAACUUCAGGAAACUGGGGCUAAUACCGGAUAGGAGCUCCUGCUGCAUGGUGGGGGUUGGAAAGUUUCGGCGGUUGGGGAUGGACUCGCGGCUUAUCAGCUUGUUGGUGGGGUAGUGGCUUACCAAGGCUUUGACGGGUAGCCGGCCUGAGAGGGUGACCGGCCACAUGGGGACUGAGAUACGGCCCAGACUCCUACGGGAGGCAGCAGUGGGGAAUAUUGCACAAUGGGCGGAAGCCUGAUGCAGCAACGCCGCGUGCGGGAUGACGGCCUUCGGGUUGUAACCCGCUUUCGCCUGUGACGAAGCGUGAGUGACGGUAAUGGGUAAAGAAGCACCGGCUAACUACGUG